AACGAACGCUGGCGGCAGGCCUAACACAUGCAAGUCGAACGAGAAGCCACCUUCGGGUGGUGGACAGUGGCAGACGGGUGAGUAACGCGUGGGAACGUGCCUUUCGGUUCGGGAUAACCCAGGGAAACUUGGGCUAAUACCGGAUACGCCCUCCGGGGGAAAGAUUCAUCGCCGAAAGAUCGGCCCGCGUCGGAUUGGCUAGUUGGUAGGGUAAUGGCCUACCAAGGCGACGAUCCGUAGCUGGUCUGAGAGGAUGACCAGCCACACUGGGACUGAGACACGGCCCAGACUCCUACGGGAGGCAGCAGUGGGGAAUAUUGGACAAUGGGCGAAAGCCUGAUCCAGCCAUGCCGCGUGGGUGAAGAAGGCCUUAGGGUUGUAAACCCCUUUCAGCGGGGAAGAUAAUGACGGUACCCGCAGAAGAAGUCCCGGCUAACUCCGUGCCAGCAGCCGCAGUAA
This 459-nucleotide ribosomal RNA is filed under the name uncultured bacterium. RNAcentral describes it as "partial 16S ribosomal RNA". It matches the Rfam family "Bacterial small subunit ribosomal RNA", at positions 29 to 523 of the family's 1533-position model. The record is from RNAcentral.